Molecule: long non-coding RNA, 4738 nt
Filed under: Apis florea (little honeybee)
Lineage: Eukaryota; Metazoa; Arthropoda; Insecta; Hymenoptera; Apidae
Description: uncharacterized LOC116414902
Source: RNAcentral
AAUUUCAACAGAGUUUAUUUACUUUUGACAAUAUCAUCACUAUUUUGUUGACAUGAUUUAUCAUUUCUAUUGUUCAUACACUUCAUAGGAUUACUUAUGGGAUGAUGUAACAAUUAAUUAUAAACGAAUUUAGGACAUUUAUUAAUCCUUUGAGGUUCGUGUUGAUUUAUAAAUAGAAUAUCGUUGAAAAGCAAUAAUUAUUAAGACUUCUUCAUUCGUUUUUUCUAUACAUGACUUUACACAAUGAAGUUUGAAAGUAUUACUAGAUUUAAAGCUCUCAGAUAAAACUCAGGAACCUUAAAGGAAACUCUCAGGUGAUGAGAUUUUUGAGAAAGGAAGAGAAAUAAGAUUAAAAAAAAAAGAAAAAGAAUGAUUUUUUUUUCUGCUUGCUCUCAUAUCACGAGAAUACGUAUUGACGUUAUUUAUGCGUUUUUUUUUUUUUUUAUUACAAAUUACGAAAAUUUGCAUACGAGUCAAGGCAUUUUAUGGUCGCGUCUUCGUUUCGACUUCGUACGUCGUUGAUCUUCUUCUUUUUUUUUCCUUCUUUUUUUUUUUUUAAUUUCACAUUUAUAUUGCGACACCUGUUGUACUUCACUUUUUUUUAGAUAUUUAGAUAAUGACUGGUUCGUCUGAUAUUGGUCAUUAGUCAUUCAAGGUCAUCAACGUCCAUCAUUUCCAUCGUUUCUUAAUUCACUGCAAAUCUACUGAUUGCAGGCAUUUCUCUACUUUUUAUAUUGUAUUUUAUGACAAUAGAGAAAGUCUGACUAAUGUCAAAAAAGAUUAUUGAACGAUGUAAAAUGAAGGGAAAUGAGCGAAAUACUGUCCCUACCAUUAUUUUUGGAAUGUUAAAAAAUUGUAAAUAUGAAAAUAUAAGAGGGAAAAAAGUGAUGAUAAUUCGUAUUUUGAAACAUGAUCUUGAAUAACUUGACUUUUGUUUUUUUUUUUUUUUUUUUUUUAGACGGACUGUAAGUUUAGUUAACUUAUCACUCCCCCCUCCAUCGUACACAUACUUCCCUAUAAUUGCUAUGUGUGCUAACGAAUGCCGCCAAUGGAGUAGUUUCUUCCUUUCUUAUUAUAUGUAUAUUUUUUUUGUUUUUCUUUAUGUCAAAGGCUUUAUGUCAAAAAAGGCAAAAAGAGGGGAGAAUAUUUAAGGGAUGAUUUUAAAGACUGAAACAAGUACAAAAGUUGGUAUGCAAGAAUAUCCAUUCACUCCUUAUUUUUCAUGUUAUAAGCAACUCAACGUUUUCUCUCUGUCCCAUCUAGUACAAUUAAUUAAAUGGCUCGUAAGUUGAAAAAUAAGUUAUGCAUACUUUUAAGAAAAGUACUUUUGUAUUUAUUUUAGAAUUGCAUCUUAAAUCUUCUUCUCGCGUCGUAGGAACAUCCUGUACGUGUACACGUGUACACACAUACACACAUACACAUGUAUACUGUAGAAGCAAACGCGGCGAGGCUGGAACUCUCUGAAACUUGUUUUCAUUUUAAAGAACAAAGACGUGGUAAAAACUUUACCACUGAUAUGCCCCCUCCUCGUGUCUCAUUAUCUUUCCGUGAAUCGAUUUUGUGAUAUUUUGAAACAAAUUCUAACUUCACCAGACGUUCAUUAUUUAUUCAAAUUUUAAAACUGGAAACUCGAAGCUUGCGAAUAGCUAGGAGACAAAAUUUGGAAAACUCCGAGAAUGAAAAAAAAACGAAAACACGGAGAGAUUUGGACGAAUGUAUAUUCUUUGUAUUCCACUUGUAUUCCCUAUUUGAUCUAGACGAUUUAUCCAUUUCCGCUUGAUCUUCUCUCUUGUGCUAGCAAAUUGUUUUUUUUUUUUUUUAAUAAUAUACGUUUCUUUUCGUCGUGUAUUUUCACCCAAAAGUAGCGGAUUUUCCAUUCACUCACACACGUUCUUCCAGAAUAUUUCUCGCAAUCGGAAUCCCGUUCUUUUGCUUCUUUCUUCUUCUUUUUCCUAUGCAAUGCGCAUUCCUUCCUCCGACUUAUUGUUUCGAUAAAUUCGACACUUCGAUUCGCUCCUCCUUUAGGCACAAACUGACACAUUUGCAUCUCAGGAUUGAAUCUCGAUUUUUUUUUUUUUUUCUGGUAUAACAACAAUCGAGAGUUGUUCUUUUUUCGAGGUAUACCUUCGAGGACAAAGAUCAGAACAUGACUCUGGAGGCGAUACCUUUGGAGAGAAGUUUUAUCGAUUAUUGACACGUGAAUAAUUGUUACGUAUUGGAUAUAUUUAAUGUUCUUACUGUUCGAGGUUUUCCAGAUUUAAUUUUAAGAAUAAAGCGCAAGGAAAUUCGAAUUGAAUUAAUUUGAACGUUGAAUUUCUCUAAAGCUUACUAUAUUAUGGUAUCGUGCACAAAGGCAAGCAAGAUGUGCACAAAGCUUUAACGAGUUUUUAUCAAGGUAUCGAAUUACCAACGUACAAAAUACAUAAAGUUGGCCGGUAAAAGUAUCAAAUUUCAAAUAAGAGAGGUCAAAUAAGUAAAUAAGCUAUCUCAACUCAAGUUAGAAUUUUUAAAAUAUCGUGUUAUUUAAUUGUCUAACGUAUAAUAUCGAGUUCAUCGCGAAAUACAAGAAUUACGAAUUUCUGGAAAUCUCGAAUGGUAAAAUAAACACCGUAAGAUUGUAAAAAUCAAGCGUGUAUCAUAAGAGAGCAAUAGACGAAAGGAUUUGACAUUUAAUGGACCAAGUUCGAUUAAACGUACAUAAGUGAGAGACAAAAAUAAUAAUAAAAAUAAUAAUAAUAAUAAUAUUAAUAAUAAACGAUAGUUGGAAGGAUCGAAACGAUCUUCUAGGCUCAAUUAGCAUCAUAGAUAGUAGGGAACGAAGAGAUUGUUGUAAUUAUAUUGUUCAUAUAAACUUUUAACUUUGAUGAAAUGUUAUUACAGCUUUCAAGGGCUUCCGGAUUAACACAAUAUUGUAAAAUAAUUAUAACUACCAAUUUUAUCGUGAUUCACUAGUUGUGCCCACCUGCCAAUUUUAUUACAAAUUACAAAUUAUAUGAUUGUUAAAAAAAAAAAAUAUAUAUAUAUAUAUAAAGAGAAGGUCCAAUCUUUAGUUGGAAUAUUUUUUGAAUUUUUUGAAAGUUUUUUGAAAACUGAUCGAAAUAAUAGGCGAGAUUACGAAAACAUUGUGUUAAAUUUUAAAAUGUGCGUCAAUUAAUCUGACCGUUGGGACAAUUUUAACGAUUUAGUGAUCGGCUAAUCGGAUAAGAAAAAUGAAGUAAGUUUGGAAAUAUCGGUCGAUAAUUUUCGAUUUGCGACUCGAUGCAUCAAGAGAGUGUAAUUUUUUUUUUUUUUUUGUCAAUCUUUUGGAAUUGAAAAAUUUAUUUCUGUUCCACGUUUCUCAAAAUUAUAUAAUAAAGUCAAAUAAAAGACUGCAAUGAGCAAAUGAAUAAUAAAAUCCUUCAACUUACGAUACGUACGAUAUUCGUGUUUCUCGUUAGAUUAUUUUCAUCCUCGCGAUUCGAUGGCUGAAUUUUUUAUUCCAAAAUGAGAUAAAUUUGGAUUCAAUAUCUUGCAUCUAGCCAUUGUACUACAAUCGUGAUUUCUCUGAGGAUUAAUAUCCGAUAUAUGAACCAUGUUUCGUUUCGUCAAAGAUCUUAAACAAGAGAGAGACAGAGAGAGAGAGAGAGAAAAAGUCAAGUCGUUGAUCAACCGUGAGAAAUUUUUUAUAGAAUGUGCUUUAUUACGAGAGUCGGUAUACAGAAUAUAAAAUCAAAAGAUCAAUUUUAUCGUAACACUGUUUGCGAUACUUCUCUUCUUUGCGAAGCCGUAAACAUAUUCCUCGUAUUAUAAAUCCAUCUUGACUGAAGAACAAACCACACACCGUCCGAAAAAUUGUAUACCGUCCUUAUAAGGCGAGAUCUCGCGCGAUUGUAAUAUCGAGAUAGGGCAUGUGCGAUUAUCGAUGUAUAUUCGAAAAAUUGAAUAUGGCGGUCGUUCGUUUAUCGAUGUGGUGGAAUGGUCCCUUGUUGGUAUACUUUUUUCUAUUUCGAAAAAUUCGAACGAAAUCAACGAGGAUUGUGUAAAUAAGCUGAAAAAAGAAAAGAAUUUGUACGAGAAUAAAAUGUGUCAGCUUCGUUUAGUGUCUUAAUUCGUGAUUAACCUAUUAAGUACCAGCUUUAAAAUGAUUUUCCAAAUUGUGAAUAUUUGAUAUAUAAUAUAUACAUAUAUAUUAGACGAGUUCCUUUUAGUGCUUCUUUCGUUUUAUCGAAUAGUUGUAAUAGUUUUUAAGUAAUCGUAAUAGUAUAGUGUUAACCAUUCCUAAAAACUAAUUAAUAAUUGUUGAGAAUUCGUAAUAAUUUAUUCGAAAAAAACGAUUUAGCGAUUAAAAGGAUGAACAUAUCUUAAAAUAUCUGUGGAAAUAUAAUAUAAUGGUAACACAAAUGCAACACAUUCGUUCGUCAUAAUCCGCUAUUUUAUUAGAAAAACGUUAUUAAAUAGUUUGGACCGGACACACGCGCAAAACAUGUUCGGUGUUACGUCGAUAAUGACAGAUGACAAAACUCUUAAACAGCUACUGCAAUUUCAAUUUCAAUUUUUUAACUUUUCGUGAUCUAAAUCUAUUACUACUUGUAAGUACAGUUCAAGACUUUCAGAUGCAAAUUCUAGUUCUUUCGAAACAAUAUUCUAAAUAAAAUUACACUACUGCAAAUGAUUUUGUCAGGGUUAAAACUAAUACAGCGAUAUACUGCCAAUUUAAUAAAUUUUGCAGAUUACUAUUUUCAUAAUAGCAACAAGUUUU